Musca domestica (house fly) is the source of this 981-nucleotide long non-coding RNA. RefSeq lists it as uncharacterized. NCBI's taxonomy places the organism in Eukaryota, Metazoa, Arthropoda, Insecta, Diptera, Muscidae. The transcript has 3 exons. The record is from RefSeq and is a predicted model, not a curated record.
AAUCGACUAGUUCGUUUGCUGGUAUGCCAAUAUGCGAGGGAGUCCAUAUGAAAAUAAGCGAUUUUAUUUCAGAUGAAUCGCACUUUAGCGUUUUCUUCUGGUGGAUAUGGGCUUUGGUUGUUUGCUGAUUCUGGAAUGACUAUUUGUUAAAAUUUCUUUAAAACAUCAAGACCUUCUGUGCAAUUAAGAGACUAACUUUAGAAAAAUUUUGAUGAUCAAAUACUGCUUUGGAUGGAUUUACGUGGAUUGGUUUUGCAAUGGCAUCUUGAUUUUUAUACCCUACGCCACAAGGUGGUCAGGGUAUUAUGUCUUUGUGCAUUUGUUUGUAACAGGCAAAAGGAAACGAGAUAGACCCAUAGUUCCUUUUGAUGAUCUGCAUAGAAUCACAUUCUGAGUCGAUUUAUGCAAGUCCGUCUGUCCAUGUAUUUUUGUAAACAAAGUACAGUUCGCAUUUAUUGCCCUAUCCAGAUCAUUUGUUUGGCCCAAGGACGAACCCUAUUUGCAAUUGGAGAUAAUCGGUCAAAAUUUAGAUAUAGCUCCCAUAUAUAUCUUCGUCCGAUUUGCCCUUUUCUGUGCACCAAACAUCUAAUAUUUGUCCAAAUGGGAUGGAAUUUGGCACUUACGACCGAAUUGAGUCUAGAAGCUAGUAUGUCAAAUUUGGUGAAGAUCGGUUCAGAUAUAGCUAUAGCUCCCAUAUAUAAUGUUCAUCCGAUAUGUUAUAUUAGUUACCCACAGCCGUAAUAUGCACUCCGUAACAAGAUUUUCAGGGAAAUAUAUCAAAUACCACUCAGAAAUAUCUUUACCAAAUUUUAUCGAGAUCGGUUCCGAUUUGGAUAUAGCUCCCAUAUAUAUCUUUAUCCGAUUUCAAAUUAAAUGUGCACCAAAUGGGCAAUACAAGUCCGAAUUUAAAAGAUUCAAAUGCUUCGGCAUAUUGAGUCUUUUGAACUUUAAAUUAUAAUUAUAAUCGUAGCGUGUAUGAUU